GCAGCGUUAUUCGGAAUUACUGGGCGUAAAGCGAGGCGUAGGUGGCUCUNUUAAGUCAGAUGUGAAAUCCCCGGGCUNNCUGGGACUGCAUCUGAAACUGUAGAGCUAGAGUAUGUGAGNGAAAGGUAGAAUUCCAGUGUAGCGGUGAAAUGCGUAGAGAUCUGGAGGAAUACCGAUGGCGAAGGCAGCUUCUGGCAUAAUACUGACACUGAGGCUCGAAAGCGUGGGUAGCAAACAGGAUUAGAUACCUGGUAGUCCACGCCGUAAACGAUGUCUACUAGUCGUUGGGUCCCUUGAGGACUUAGUGACGCAGCUAACGCAAUAAGUAGACCGCCUGGGGAGUACGGCCGCAAGGUUAAAACUCAAAUGAAUUGACGGGGGCCCGCACAAGCGGUGGAGCAUGUGGUUUAAUUCGAUGCAACGCGAAGAACCUUACCUGGUCUUGACAUAUCUAGAAUCCUGCAGAGAUGCGGGAGUGCCUUCGGGAAUUAGAAUACAGGUGCUGCAUGGCUGUCGUCAGCUCGUGUCGUGAGAUGUUGGGUUAAGUCCCGCAACGAGCGCAACCCUUGUCCUUAGUUACCAGCGGGUUAAGCCGGGAACUCUAAGGAUACUGCCAGUGACAAACUGGAGGAAGGCGGGGAGGACGUCAAGUCAUCAUGGCCCUUACGACCAGGGCUACACACGUGCUACAAUGGUAGGUACAGAGGGCAGCUACACAGCGAUGUGAUGCGAAUCUCAAAAAGCCUAUCGUAGUCCAGAUUGGAGUCUGCAACUCGACUCCAUGAAGUAGGAAUCGCUAGUAAUCGCGGAUCAGAAUGCCGCGGUGAAUACGUUCCCGGCCCUUGUACACACCCCCCGUCACGCCACAGGAUUCCUCUACCGUUAGAUCAUGGCUCAAUCAGUCGUAACAAGUACCCACUAGAGUU
This 926-nucleotide ribosomal RNA is filed under the name bacterium 21F07-MB1-9. RNAcentral's name for it is "bacterial SSU rRNA". It matches the Rfam family "Bacterial small subunit ribosomal RNA", at positions 535 to 1462 of the family's 1533-position model. The record is from RNAcentral.